This is a long non-coding RNA of Nasonia vitripennis (jewel wasp), 757 nucleotides long. RefSeq lists it as uncharacterized. The transcript has 3 exons. Lineage: Eukaryota; Metazoa; Arthropoda; Insecta; Hymenoptera; Pteromalidae. The record is from RefSeq and is a predicted model, not a curated record.
CAAUAGUAUAGAUACUGGAAAUAUUCAACCAGCCCAAGAGGAUGCCUUAAUUAUCUAUAUGACUAAGCAUAGCGAAUUUGCUGCGAAUAGGUAUACGAGUUGCAAUGGCGAAUAAGCGAGAAACCUGCAAUGGGACAGAGUUGCUGAACAAGUUAGCCAGUGUGGACCUGACAAAACUGCUAAACAAGUUCAAGCUUGUUGGAACAGUCUUAUAGCAAAAGCAAAAAAAUAUAAUGCUAAAAAGAAAAGAGCAUUAAAAGAAACAGGUAAUAUAGAUAACGAAAAAUAUUUUAUUAUUGAUUCAAAAUUGGAGUCGGUACUAAGUACUGUUGAAUCAUCGCACAAUAAUGGAUUAGAAAUGGUUCCAGAAACAGGAAUAGAUACAACCAAAUAGAAGUGUACAAGUAGUAACCUCUAAAAGUACCUGCAAAGAAGAGAAGACAGAACAGAGUAGUGUACGAAGUCCUUCCAGUGGGCAGUCAGCCAGCUAGCAACACGCUACCUAAUACCACAACAUCGUGUGUUGUUCAAGUUCCUGUGACUAUGCCCACUGACAGACCAUCAACAUCCCAUGCGACUACUUAAGUUUUGUCAAAGAAAUCAGCUGCAUUGGAAAAGAUAUCAGGGAUCCGUACUAAGAGACAAAUUGACAGCACUGCUAAUUUGCCAACUUAUGCACUGAUUUAUGUGAAAAAAAAUGUUUACGACUGAUCAAAUAUUAAAAAUAAUAUAAUCUAAUAGGUUCAAUAAAAUUUUG